Molecule: long non-coding RNA, 1563 nt
Filed under: Anas platyrhynchos platyrhynchos (common mallard)
Lineage: Eukaryota; Metazoa; Chordata; Aves; Anseriformes; Anatidae
Description: lncRNA (ENSAPLG00000020507.1)
Source: RNAcentral
AUGGAUGCUUGGGAGGAUGCAGUAGAAGAGCAGAGAAAAUGGCAACAGGAUAAGGGGUGGAAAACCCCUAGGUGGGACAGGAAUUGGGUAGCCGAGAAUUGUUUCAACUGGGAAGCGCUGCGAGCAGAGUUCCAGAGGUGGCAGGAGAGUCAUAAAAGCAAAGGCAAGGAAGGGAAAGGGUCCUUCAUUGGGCUCCUCACAGAGGCAUUAGCAGCUGCAGGCACUUUGUUUAAAACUACACGGCAGAAACUAGAAACUGCCUCGCAGGAUGCCUUGCAGCGAGCUAAAGACGCAGAAGCGCAAGCGAAAGACGCAGAAGCACGAGCGCAGGAUGCCGAAGCACGAGCAGCUGCCUACGAAUCUCACAGCCUUAUUAAGGACCACUUGCUGCAACAAUUAGAGACGAACCUCAGACCCCUGGCUUUAAGCCAGCUGGAGCAAGAGCAUACGCGCCCGGUCUCUGAGAGUGAGAUCAUUGACGAAAUGCACACACUGAAAAACGACAACGAGGAUUCCGAUUUUAGCAACGGGCUGUCUACGCCCACCUCGUUGCCCGAAUCUAACCCAGACGAGACAGCCUCUCGGUACCCCAUCACACAGCUCCCGGCUCCUGCCAGGGACGAAGGCUCUCCUCAGGCGGCGAUGGCUGCUUUAAAUUUUAAUUCAGGACAACUCUGGCAGAAGUUCAUGCAGUUCAGCAAGAAAUCCAGCGAGGACUGGCUGGGGUGGGUGGCGCGAUGCUAUCAGAUGGGGGCUGGAACACUCAUUCUUAAUCAGAACGAGGCUAGACAAAUAUUCCUGGGAGGGGGGAUAAUUCUUCACAACCCCGAUGAGGGGGCCGAACAGAACACCUUUUCUCUACUAUCUUCAAUUAUACACGCUGUCAGACAAAUGCAGGUACGGUGGGGAUACAGCCCCCCUCCUCCCUGGAACACCCGCAAUGGGUUUGCCAAGUGGACGAUGAGACUGGCUGCCUGGGAUGCCCUUAAGGCCCAGGGGGCCAUCCCAGAGGACAUGAUGUCUAUGAUGGCUACAGAAGCAGGGAAAUCGAGGCUACUGGAAAACGCGGCGUACGGGGGAGCGAAGGGUUUGGCCUUAAUGCUGUACAGCAGGACUUACGAUUGGAACACUAUAAUGGUCCAAGGGCUGCAGUACUGGGUAGCCUUUAUGAAAAACACCCCCAAAUCAACAGCUCGCCAAAGGGAAGGGUGGGUCAGGGUCACCCAGACACCAAGAGGAAAUCACAAAAAGGGGCAAAAUGUUCGUAAAUUCCCCGCUGAGAUGAAUCGCCCUGACACAAGAAGAUCCCCUGACAAACAGGAGCGAGACCUGGAGCGGAGACGCUUGUGGGGUCUCCUGCGGGGGAUAGGAUUCACACCAGGACAAUUAGACAAGAUGCCCACGUUCCUCUUACAGAGACUGUGGGAUAAUCGCAAAAGGGAUUGCUCCUGCACCCCCAGUGUGAGUGAAGAGAAGCUGACAGACAGCGUUGAUCCAUCUGCUUCUCUGAUCCCGACCCCAGAUAACCCAUCCCCUCCCCCAGUCCCUGAUUCGGGAAACUGA